AACACUUUAUUCUUACGCAGGAAAUGAAAUCAAUUGAAGGAUGAAAUCGUACCCGACUCGUGUUGUGCGGUUCAGAAGACGAAGUGUGUCAUGGCCAAUGAUGCGUUGACGAUGAUUGAAAAUGGAGCGAAGCGUCUCGAUUCUGAAAAGAGGCGGUUAUGGAGGAUUGAAGGUUGUUAGAGUUUGUUACGGUGGUGGAAGGGAAUAAUGGAAAAGAGGAAAAAGAAAUCGGGGAAGAGAGGAAAGAGAUUGGAGAGAGAAGAAGAAGAGGCAUGAAAAUUCGCCGACUUGCGUAUUUAUAUUGAUUUGUAGGUGUGCUCUUGGCUUGUGCAGUUGAUGCAGCUUGUGAAUGAGCUUUUAUGCAGCUACGGCUUGGUUUGUGCUUGCAUUAGCUUACGUUUUCUUUGGAUCUCUCUUGGAAGUAGUCUUCGGUAAUGGAUUUUAUGGCUUGUGUUACCGUAGCCUCAAUUUCCACUGGCUUGGCUGCACUAUUUUCGCUGGCUUUGAGCUUGGAUUUCAUGCUGAGUUGCUACAGCUUUUGGAAGUGUGUUUGUCUUGACUUCGCUUUCAUGCUGUGUUUCAUGGCUUUGCAGCUUACGCUUGGCUCAGCGUUCCAGCUUUUGUUUAGUAGCUUUUGAACGUCGGCUUUGUAACUGCUGUUUUGAUUUGAGUUCCACUUUGCAGUUUGGUCGUUGCUUACUGUAGCUGCGUUUUGUUUGGAAGCCAACAUUUGGAUGCACCUUUGGCUUGCUUUUACAUUUUGGACGUGUAGCUGUUGGGUUUUUUGGAUUAUGCAGCUUCUGGAUAGCAGCUCCAAGCUGCAUUUCGCUUUUUCUGUUAUAGCUGCAAUGUUUAGCAACUUAUUUCCCUUUUCUUUUGGUUGCAGUCCCGUUGUACCUUCAUGUUUUAGAAUUGGCAUUUGGUAAAUGGAUAUGUGAGGGGUUAGAUAUGCAUGACGUAUGCAGUAUGCUAAUGCAAUACAAUUGAUUAUUUUUCAUCUUU
Long non-coding RNA from Lathyrus oleraceus (garden pea), 1002 nucleotides. RefSeq lists it as uncharacterized. The transcript is spliced from 3 exons. The record is from RefSeq and is a predicted model, not a curated record. NCBI's taxonomy places the organism in Eukaryota, Viridiplantae, Streptophyta, Magnoliopsida, Fabales, Fabaceae.